Molecule: non-coding RNA, 24 nt
Filed under: Oryctolagus cuniculus (rabbit)
Lineage: Eukaryota; Metazoa; Chordata; Mammalia; Lagomorpha; Leporidae
Also listed under: 2 other names
Source: RNAcentral
AGAGCAGCUCCCUCGCUGCGAUCU